Molecule: ribosomal RNA, 253 nt
Filed under: uncultured bacterium
Lineage: Bacteria
Description: partial 16S ribosomal RNA
Rfam family: Bacterial small subunit ribosomal RNA
Source: RNAcentral
UACAGAGGUCCCAAGCGUUGUUCGGAUUCAUUGGGCGUAAAGGGUGCGUAGGUGGCAUGGUAAGUCGGGUGUGAAAUCCCGGGGCUCAACCCCGGAACUGCACUCGAUACUACCGUGCUCGAGUACUGGAGAGGAGACUGGAAUUUACGGUGUAGCAGUGAAAUGCGUAGAUAUCGUAAGGAAUACCGAUGGCGAAGGCAGGUCUCUGGGCUGACACUGACGCUCAUGCACGAAAGCGUGGGGAGCAAACAGG